AAAACUGAUAGGUUCGGUUUUGCCGUUUGGUGAUGGGAAAUCGGUGUGAUGCCGAUGCUGCCCCCGCAACUGUAACGGGUUGGGUGAUCUAGGUGAAUUGACCUUGCCAGCCACCGGAAAUGUCGACAGCAGACAAACCGGGAAGGCGGAUUGCUUUCAUGCCCGAAGCCAGGAAACCAGCCACCGGCAUCCUAUUCGC
This 199-nucleotide non-coding RNA is filed under the name Thalassospira alkalitolerans. The record is from RNAcentral. Lineage: Bacteria; Pseudomonadati; Pseudomonadota; Alphaproteobacteria; Rhodospirillales; Thalassospiraceae.